This 878-nucleotide ribosomal RNA is filed under the name uncultured eukaryote. Its description in RNAcentral is "SSU rRNA". It matches the Rfam family "Eukaryotic small subunit ribosomal RNA", at positions 636 to 1469 of the family's 1831-position model. The record is from RNAcentral.
CGGUGUUCAACUGGCGUGUCCGCGGGACGUCCUGCCGGUGGGCUUAGCCCGCAAGGGCGGCCCAACUUCAAAUCCCAUCGCGGUGCUCUUCACUGAGUGUCGAGGUGGGCCGGCACGUUUACUUUGAACAAAUUAGAGUGCUUAAAGCAGGCUAAAACUUCGCCUGAAUACUGUGUGCAUGGAAUAAUGGAAUAGGACCUCGGUUCUAUUUUGUUGGUUUUCGGAACCCCGAGGUAAUGAUUAAUAGGAACGGAUGGGGGCAUUCGUAUUGCGACGUUAGAGGUGAAAUUCUUGGAUCGUCGCAAGACGGACAGAAGCGAAAGCAUUUGCCAAAAACGCUUUCAUUGAUCAAGAACGAAAGUUAGAGGUUCGAAGGCGAUCAGAUACCGCCCUAGUUCUAACCAUAAACGAUGCCAGCUAGCGAUCCGUCGACGUUCCUCCGAUGACUCGACGGGCAGCUUCCGGGAAACCAAAGCUUUUGGGUUCCGGGGGAAGUAUGGUUGCAAAGCUGAAACUUAAAGGAAUUGACGGAAGGGCACCACCAGGAGUGGAGCCUGCGGCUUAAUUUGACUCAACACGGGAAACCUCACCAGGCCCCGGACACCGGAAGGAUUGACAGAUUGAGAGCUCUUUCUUGAUUCGGUGGGUGGUGGUGCAUGGCCGUUCUUAGUUGGUGGAGCGAUUUGUCUGGUUAAUUCCGAUAACGAACGAGACUCUAGCCUGCUAACUAGGCGUAUUUUCGACAUCUCAAAGGUCCGUCGUCCCGGCCCUCGGGUCGUGGGCGUGCGCGAUUUUUACUGUCGGCGUACUAUCAAUUCUUCUUAGAGGGACAGGUGGCUUCUAGCCGCACGAGAUUGAGCAAUAACAGGUCUGUGAUG